GUAGUCAUAUGCUUGUCUCAAAGGUUAAGCCAUGCAUGUCUAAGUAUAAGCACUUGUACUGUGAAACUGCGAAUGGCUCAUUAAAUCAGUUAUCGUUUAUUUGAUUGUACCAUUUACUACUUGGAUAACCGUGGUAAUUCUAGAGCUAAUACAUGCGAAAAGUCCCGACUUCUGGAAGGGAUGUAUUUAUUAGAUUCAAAACCAAUGCGGGUUCUGCCCGGUUGUUUGGUGAUUCAUAGUAACUGUUCGAAUCGCACGGCCUUGCGCUGGCGAUGUUUCAUUCAAAUUUCUGCCCUAUCAACUGUCGAUGGUAAGGUAUUGGCUUACCAUGGUUACAACGGGUAACGGGGAAUG
This 354-nucleotide ribosomal RNA is filed under the name uncultured fungus. Its description in RNAcentral is "SSU rRNA". It matches the Rfam family "Eukaryotic small subunit ribosomal RNA", at positions 20 to 371 of the family's 1831-position model. The record is from RNAcentral. Lineage: Eukaryota; Fungi.